GCCUGGUUAGCUCAGUCGGUAGGGCGUCAGACUUUUAAUCUGAGUUCAAGGGUUCGAGUCCAUUAUCGGGCG
This 72-nucleotide transfer RNA is filed under the name Actinia tenebrosa (Australian red waratah sea anemone). RNAcentral describes it as "tRNA-Lys". It matches the Rfam family "tRNA". Rfam says of the family: Transfer RNA (tRNA) molecules are approximately 80 nucleotides in length. Their secondary structure includes four short double-helical elements and three loops (D, anti-codon, and T loops). Lineage: Eukaryota; Metazoa; Cnidaria; Anthozoa; Actiniaria; Actiniidae. The record is from Rfam by way of RNAcentral.